GACUUCCUCCCCACAGUGAGCUAAAAGGACGCUUUUGUCAGAGUGGGGAAAUAAAAGGGCUUUAUGGGAAGGAAGAUAAGAACAGAUGAGUCAGAGGUUUCUGCUUAAUGGUGGUACAGCCAAGCAGACAGGCAAGUAAGUGGCCAUACUGCUACUGCCUCAUGUAGGAUCCGGCAGGCUGGUGGGUUAUCAGUCCUCACGUGGGACCCUCCCACCAUGGCAGCUGAGCACAUCCAAGCUGGGGGAUCCUGAAGAGACCUUCACCUGGGUGCCACGUGGAAGAUUGGCCAGCACCAUUUUGACUCCUGUGGAUGGGUGAGUGUUUUGCCCACCCCCACCCCAAUAACAUCAGCACCCAAACUGCACCUGGUCACCUGUCUACAUUCAGAUUUAGAUGAAAGCCACACCAUGGAGGCAGCCAGAGGCCCAUGGGAGAUGUCUGGAUUCGCAGAGGAAUAGCUCCAUGUGAUGCAAACCUUGACUAAUGGGAACAGGAAAAGGGAGGAAACCAGGAAGAUAAAUCUCCCUCCCUUCUCAUUGCUCCUUGCAACCCUUCCCACUUGAAGCAUGACCACAUUUAAUGAACAACCUGCUGUGUCUCUUGGAAGCUUGCUGCAAGGCAGCAAUCAGCACAAUAACAUUGUAUUGUAUCUUCCUCUGCUUCACUUCUCUUC
RNAcentral lists this long non-coding RNA (674 nucleotides) under Homo sapiens (human). Its description in RNAcentral is "non-protein coding lnc-KLF17-1:2". The record is from RNAcentral. Lineage: Eukaryota; Metazoa; Chordata; Mammalia; Primates; Hominidae.